Molecule: long non-coding RNA, 1028 nt
Organism: Pan troglodytes (chimpanzee)
Lineage: Eukaryota; Metazoa; Chordata; Mammalia; Primates; Hominidae
Exons: 3
Source: RefSeq, a predicted model, not a curated record
GAUUUCUCUCUGGAGGGGUCUCGCAGGGCCCCCUCUGCGCUGCUUUCUCAGGCACCAGAACCGAAAUCCUCGGGAGGGACCGCGGGAGCCCGGGGCGUGCAGACAGGCGGCUUUCACAGACGCAGCGGGAGGAAGGAUCCCUCUACUGCUCCCUUUCCCGAUUUGACCGUCUAGGGCCUUUGAGAGGACUUUCCUUUUGGGAACGCUUUUCUCAAUUCGUGGCCUGUGGGCAGGCUGGGGGUGGGGCGCCAAGACAUCCGAGCGCGGCUUCCGCUUCUCCCUUUCCCUCACAGGCAUGCUCUACGGAGGGUAUGGGAGGCGAGGGCGCGUCUAUGAGGGCCAGAGUCCGCGAAGAGAGUCCGGCCCUUAGGCCUUUGGUGUUGAAGAAUCUGCUCCUCUGUCGGGUCAAGCCCCACUAGAAGUUAACACCUGUGGUCUCCAAACUUGCCUAUUUUCCUGUCACGCAGUUCAAGCCAAGAUUCAACUCGUCUUGAAUUUUUGUAUUUAGAGCCCCUACCUUCUCCACCGACUCCAGGGGCGCCCUCUGGCGGGAAGGGGCCUGGGGUAGGAGGGAACCUGAGGGAGCGGGUUACAAAGCAGAGAACAACGGGAGCUCAGCAGCCCCCUUUGAAUUGCGAGGAAACCAAGACUGAGACGGGAGGUAACCGACCCUGUGAGGCCCGCGCUGCCGUGCUCCGCCGCGAAUCCGCCAGACGCCCCCGUCGGAAGGGGCGGGAACACCCCCGGGGGCGCUCUAGGGCUCGUGCUGCUCUAAGUGUGAAGAGGAAAAGUAAAACCAGCAGCAAGAAGACUGUAGAGACCCAGCUGUGAGAAGACAGCGGCCCAUUCACUACAGUGGCUCUGGGUUCUGGCCUCUGGACUCAUGACUGGACCAAGCCCUCCAGGAAUCACUUUGUCUCCCCUCUCUCAUUCCCUGAUGAAGACAAGUCUCCGUGAGGUUGUUGCCGCCUCUUAGCUAUUAUGAAUAAUGAUGCAAUGAACAUGAAGAUACAGAUGUCUUUUCAAGG